GUGGGGUCCAGUACGUGGCAGGUGGUUUCCAGGGUAUCUAUCUCAAUGUCAUAUACCUCUCCCGUGGGCCGCUGUGGAGACAGAGGAUGAAGAGAUGCCUGGAUGCAAAGCUGGGGUUCCCUACUGUCCCCUGCUGGUAGUAAGGGGGAAGCGUGAUCCUUCCUCUGCUGGAGGAAGCAGUGUGUCUGUCCUUCACUUGCACAGAGGAAAGGAGUAGUGGGUAAGGCUUGGGUGAUUCCUUGGAGUUUUCCCUGCCAGUUCACCUGUUUCUGCAUCCUUUCUUCAAAGACCAGAAAGUCCAGAAGAUGUGCCCAAAUUAACUUCCUGAAAACACUCAGAGCUAGUGAAUAGGAGCCGGGCACUCCUGCGGUUCUCAAACCCUGCUUUGGAAAAUGAAAGAUUACCAUUUACUUACUGAAAAUGAAGGAGACACUAGAGGAUCUUUUGAUAUGUUUUCCAAGAAAACUGUGACAAAGGAUGCCCAAGGGAGGCUCUAAGUAUUUCACUGUGCCUGGAGACACCACUUUCAAACUCUGAAAGAUUUUCACACAACAAAUGCAUAUAUCCAUCCUUGAGUGAUCUUGGGCCCAGGUCUGCAAUAAAACAACGUCUAAUAGCACAAUGAGGAUAUCAGGAACUUGUUAGAGCUGGUUGGGAAGAGCAGUCCCAAAGAUCCAAGGAGCAGAAGAGGACCAACAACCACCAGGAGAUGGCAGCAGGGUGCUAAGCAGUGCUUGGUGUGUGGAGUUCAUGGGCUGAUGGCGGAAUUCCAAGAUGGCAGCUAGGGUUGGCACCAGCUGCUCUGCGUUUGUGAGUAGGGCUGUCCACUAGGGCGGCGAUGCGUUCAAAUUUCUCCAAAGCAGAAUUCAGCCUUGAGAGUUGUUAGCUGGGAGUCAGAUAAGGAUGGUGGCAAGUGCAGAGUCAGAGUUGCUGGGGGUUGGUUCUGUUAGGGCCCUGCCAGCAGACAGGAAUCUCGGAGGGGAAAGAUAGAGCUAGAAGGGGGUGAAAUAUCAAGUCAGGCAGUGAGGGCUCAGGUGAGAGCUAGUGACAUGAACAAGUGCACGUCAGCAAAAGCCAGCGGAGCCAUUGGUUUUCACAGGGAGGAAGUGGCAGUGGUUGGUGUUUAAAUUGUUGGGCCAGAUUCUUGGCUCUGCCCUUUCUGGUACUUAAAGGGCCUAGGUCCUAAGAAGCCCAGUAGUGAUUUCUGAUUAGCCAGGUAUUUCUUCAUCCUUAUGGGUAUUUACUGAACACCUACCAUCUGUGAUGUCAGGUGCCUGUAACAGAGUGAUGAGAAAACAGUCUGCACUAAAGGAGCUUACCUUAACUCCCUUGGUCCAGCAACAUCUGAUCAGCCAAGAGCUGUAAGUUAUAUGACAUGAUUGUGUUGUAUGUCCUAGGGAGACAGGUUGGGGUUUAUAGCUCCAGUGUAAAACCCUUGAUCAAUAAAAUGCAAAUUGCCCUUCUCCAAGGA
Capra hircus (goat) is the source of this 1471-nucleotide long non-coding RNA. RefSeq lists it as uncharacterized. Lineage: Eukaryota; Metazoa; Chordata; Mammalia; Artiodactyla; Bovidae. The record is from RefSeq and is a predicted model, not a curated record. The transcript has 5 exons.